RNAcentral lists this ribosomal RNA (592 nucleotides) under Escherichia sp. S85_ASV_4. RNAcentral describes it as "bacterial SSU rRNA". It matches the Rfam family "Bacterial small subunit ribosomal RNA", at positions 519 to 1110 of the family's 1533-position model. Lineage: Bacteria; Pseudomonadati; Pseudomonadota; Gammaproteobacteria; Enterobacterales; Enterobacteriaceae. The record is from RNAcentral.
GGUAAUACGGAGGGUGCAAGCGUUAAUCGGAAUUACUGGGCGUAAAGCGCACGCAGGCGGUUUGUUAAGUCAGAUGUGAAAUCCCCGGGCUCAACCUGGGAACUGCAUCUGAUACUGGCAAGCUUGAGUCUCGUAGAGGGGGGUAGAAUUCCAGGUGUAGCGGUGAAAUGCGUAGAGAUCUGGAGGAAUACCGGUGGCGAAGGCGGCCCCCUGGACGAAGACUGACGCUCAGGUGCGAAAGCGUGGGGAGCAAACAGGAUUAGAUACCCUGGUAGUCCACGCCGUAAACGAUGUCGACUUGGAGGUUGUGCCCUUGAGGCGUGGCUUCCGGAGCUAACGCGUUAAGUCGACCGCCUGGGGAGUACGGCCGCAAGGUUAAAACUCAAAUGAAUUGACGGGGGCCCGCACAAGCGGUGGAGCAUGUGGUUUAAUUCGAUGCAACGCGAAGAACCUUACCUGGUCUUGACAUCCACAGAACUUUCCAGAGAUGAGAUUGUGCCUUCGGGAACUGUGAGACAGGUGCUGCAUGGCUGUCGUCAGCUCGUGUUGUGAAAUGUUGGGUUAAGUCCCGCAACGAGCGCAACCCUUAUCC